AAAAAUUUAGUUAAUCCCAUAAUAUUAGUUUGUCAAACUAAAGUUACAUCUCUGUAUUUUUUA
RNAcentral lists this transfer RNA (63 nucleotides) under Crenidorsum turpiniae. RNAcentral describes it as "tRNA-Asp". The record is from RNAcentral. Lineage: Eukaryota; Metazoa; Arthropoda; Insecta; Hemiptera; Aleyrodidae.